AUAUAACUAUGUUGACCAGAGUAAGCGUGCCAAGAUAGUGGAUGGGGAUUCUAAUGCCGCAAUCGUAUACCUAGAGGGAAAGGCAGUUGCAGACCUAAUGAGCAUGUCAAGAUACAAUUUAACUAAGGAUAACAUGUUGGCAAACAUGUUUUGGGCCGACGGAGGUAGCAGGACUGAUUAUCAAUUUUUUGGGGACGUUCUUGCAUUUGACUCAACGUAUAAGAAGAAUAAGUACAAAAGACCAUUGGUGAUAUUUUCAGGUUCUAACAAUCAUAAACAUACCACAAUUUUUGGAUUCGGGCUAGUGCUAGAUGAGAGCAUUGGGUCGUACAAGUGGCUUUUAGAAAAUUUGCUAGAAGUGAUGUGUAACAAGAUGCCUUCGGUUGUUGUCACCGAUGGUUGUGACUCAAUGAAAGCUGCCAUAAAGUCAGUUUUUUCGAAGGCAACCCAUAGGUUAUGCGCGUGGCACAUGGAAAAAAAAGUCACUGUGAAUGUUAAAGAUGCUGGGUUGCGUCAACUUUUCAAAAAGUGGUUGUAUGCUGAUAUGGAGAUCGAGGAUUUUGAAGAAGAGUGGGCAACAGCUAUGGAGGAGCAUGGUUUGCAUGACACCUUUUGGUUUAGGGAAACUUAUGAGAAGAGAAGCAUGUGGGCCAAUGCAUACCUUCGCGACAAGUUCUGUGCUGGGUUUCGGACAACUUCUCGGUGUGAAGGGAUCAACUCGAAUGUUAAAAAAUUUUUAAAGUCAAGACAUAGCAUCCUUGAGAUGGUACAAAACCUUGAACUGCUUGUGUGAGAGUAUCGGAAUAACAAACUACUUGCACAAUUUAGAUCAAUAAAUGGCGUUCCAGUGAUGACUACUUGCCUAGACCCCAUUGAGAAGUUUGUUGCGAGUGUUUAUACGCGAGAGUUGUUUGCUGAUGUGAAGAAAGAGAUAGAAGGUGUUGGUGCCGUGAACUUCGUGGCAAAAGUGAGACGAUCUACCACGAUGGUGUACACGUUGGAGGAGUAUAGGGAGCCCGGAAGACACCUAAUUGUGUUGUAUGAUAGGGUUUUAAGCAAUCUUGUGUGUCCCUGCUAUUUUUGGAACAAAAAAGGGUAUCCAUGUCGACACAUGUUCUUCGUGAUGAAAUACGAGCACCUAACAGAAAUACCUGACCGGUUGGUGUUGAAAAAAUGGAGGCAAGAUGCGAAGUCGUUGGAGCACUAUGUUGAGGUUACAGACGAUGGUAGUGAGAGGAGUAUUUUACUUCGACAUGGGGCACUCCAUACUGCGUCACAAUGGAUGUUGUUUGUCGGGUCAAGAAAGUCGUCAUUCUUCAUAAAGGCGAUGAAUGGGAUACGUGCAAUAUGUGAGGAUCUUGAAGCAAACUGCAAAGAUUUUAGCGGUGCAAAGAAACAAACGAACGUGUCUCAUAUCAACGACCCAGUUGUCGUGAAAACGAAGGGAGCUCCUCGGGUGAAAAGGCAAAAUGGUAAGAAACGACGGUGCGGCAAGUAUAGGAAAUUCGGUCACAACAAAAGACAGUGCCGGGGUCGGGGUGAGGACAUGGCAUCGAAUCGUGAAGAGCAGUUACAAGAGGAGGGAGUUGCUGGUUUUGGAUCGGAAGGGUCAUCCCCAACAGAAUUUCUUGCAGGUUCGAUGUUCAGUAUCGACUGCCUAUAAGAAUGAGAGGGGUUGGGAAUAUUCUCGUGGUCUGAAUGCUGAUGGGCACAGUGAGUUUGUCGACCAAGCUGCUAAGGAGAACAAUGGAGAUCAAUUGAUGCAGAUGAUGAGCAAGAUUAGUGCAAUGAGUGCAAGGCUGGUAGACAUGCUUGGACAUCGUAGUUGAAAAAGAUGGUAACGAAAGCAUCGUUCUGAUGAAUCUAAGUGGAGGGCUGUUUGUUGUUGUGUUUCCAGCAACAAUAGAAUAGGGCAUUGGACUAGUGAAACUUAUUGCCUUGUAUGAGCCAAAUUUCUUAUUAGACAACUAGAUUCCACAAGUUAUGAAUUAUGAAUGUUUCCUGCCAUAUUUACUCUUUUUUUGUUGGUAUUGACACUUGGCCUUUAUUUCAUGGUUAUACAUAGAAAUGAGAAAAAAAAAAGGUUGGCCUUUA
Arachis ipaensis is the source of this 2094-nucleotide non-coding RNA. NCBI's taxonomy places the organism in Eukaryota, Viridiplantae, Streptophyta, Magnoliopsida, Fabales, Fabaceae. The record is from RefSeq and is a predicted model, not a curated record.